This is a non-coding RNA of Glycine soja, 127 nucleotides long. NCBI's taxonomy places the organism in Eukaryota, Viridiplantae, Streptophyta, Magnoliopsida, Fabales, Fabaceae. The record is from Rfam.
UCACAAAGAAAUGUUGACUGUAACGUGUCAUGUUCUAAUUGGACAUGAAAAGGUGCGCCCAAGAGCCAACUCUAACAAUUUUCUGUUCAUCGUCCAAUCAGAAUGUGACACGUGACAAUCAACUUUU